UACGUGGGGUGCGAGCGUUAAUCGGAAUUACUGGGCGUAAAGCGUGCGCAGGCGGCUUACUAAGACAGGUGUGAAAGCCCCGAGCUUAACUUGGGAAUGGCGCUUGUGACUGGUAGGCUGGAGUGUGGCAGAGGGAGGUGGAAUUCCACGUGUAGCAGUGAAAUGCGUAGAGAUGUGGAGGAACACCGAUGGCGAAGGCAGCCUCCUGGGCCAGCACUGACGCUCAUGCACGAAAGCGUGGGGAGCAAACAGG
This 253-nucleotide ribosomal RNA is filed under the name uncultured bacterium. Its description in RNAcentral is "partial 16S ribosomal RNA". It matches the Rfam family "Bacterial small subunit ribosomal RNA", at positions 524 to 776 of the family's 1533-position model. The record is from RNAcentral.